RNAcentral lists this ribosomal RNA (425 nucleotides) under uncultured bacterium. RNAcentral describes it as "bacterial SSU rRNA". It matches the Rfam family "Bacterial small subunit ribosomal RNA", at positions 356 to 773 of the family's 1533-position model. The record is from RNAcentral.
GGGGAAUUUUGGACAAUGGGGGGAACCCUGAUCCAGCCAUGCCGCGUGAGUGAAGAAGGCCUUCGGGUUGUAAAGCUCUUUUGUCCGGGAGGAAAUCCUAUAUGUGAAUAAUGUAUGGGGAUGACAGUACUGGAAGAAUAAGCACCGGCUAACUACGUGCCAGCAGCCGCGGUAAUACGUAGGGUGCAAGCGUUAAUCGGAAUUACUGGGCGUAAAGGGUGCGCAGGUGGUUUAUCAAGCCAGAUGUGAAAUCCCCGGGCUUAACCUGGGAAUGGCAUUUGGGACUGAUAGGCUAGAGUACGGCAGAGGGGGGUAGAAUUCCACGUGUAGCAGUGAAAUGCGUAGAGAUGUGGAGGAAUACCGAUGGCGAAGGCAGCCCCCUGGGUUGAUACUGACACUCAAGCACGAAAGCGUGGGGAGCAAAC